CUGUCGGCGCGAGGCGGAAGCCCGGCUGCGGGUCUGGAUCGGUGCCCGCGCGGCUCGGCGCCUGCCUCCUCAGGGCAGUCCGCCGCCCGCCGCCCCGCGGAGACCAGUUUUCUGUUUGCACCUCCUGACCUCCACGAAGAUAUUCUGCUGGCCUUGAUCUCCCCUGUCUCCUUGGUACUUAGAAUCGCGGUCGUCGACCCCCGUUGACUGUUCUGUGGGUCGGGACAACUGGCGCCCAACGUGGGGCCCAACAGACCGGAGAGGCGAGAAAGUCGCCCCCAGGAGGGUGGGUGGGCCCAGGUGGGCCCACCCCCACCCAUGAAAGGAGGUGUCUGCAGCUAGACCCUCGCCAGAAUCGCCACGUUCUGAACCGGGCGUGAGACAGACUCGUGUAUACUCAAUCGGCGACGCAUUUAGGAAGAAAUGUCACUCUUCCCCCUAAGACGCUUACUCCUGAUGCCCAAUUAAAUUUACCAGUUAGUACUACUAUAAUUACUGACUGUGUAUGUAUUAAUUGUACUGAUGUAGCCUCUUACCGUAAUUCUACAAUCAAUGUAAAAUAGUCUUCUGGAUAUAGACUUCCAAAUGGUUAAGUAUUUUUGUGUAAUAACAAAACAUAUCAAGCCCUCUCUCCACACUAUCAAGGUGUUUGUGGGGUGAGACGCAUUCUUCCUGCUCUAAUAGACCAUCCUGAAUAUAAGCACAGGAGACUUCUCCGAGCUCUGCCAUCUGACUGUGAUGAAAACUUGAAGCUUUGAGGUCCUGCUGCUGCUGCUGUUGCAGUUGCAGCUGCGUUCCUCCUGCCGGUUCCUGGAAUUGUCAUUGGAAUGCUAGAGGAGAUAUCUAAGCUGGCCUGCGCAUAUAGCAAAACAACAAAAUUGACUGCUUCUGUAUUAUCUGAACUCCACCAAGAACUGAGAGAAUUGCGAGCUGCAGUGCCUCAGAAUUGAGCUCCUGUGGACUGUCUGCUGUUAAAAGAGCAUAUAAGAUGUGAACAGUUUCCAAGAAUGUGUUGUUUCAAUUUGUCUGAUUUUUCUCAAACUACCCAAAAUCAAUUAGAUGAUAUCCCCAGUCACCACAAAACCAUUUAAAUCCUAUCUUAUUUGCAGCCAAAACUGCAUCUCAUAUAUUAAAUCAGAUGAAAGACAUGUGCAAAGAACCCCUGAAUAGUCUCUGGCACGUUGUCACACCUCUCUUAACUCUAAGCAUUUUAUGGCUUUUGUUGCUGUUACUAGGGCCUUGUGUCCUUCGCAGCAUGUAGAAACUCAUCCAACAAGCCUUAAGAGGCCUGCAUCAUUUGAAAUUGCAGACGGCCCCCCCCACUUGUAAAUCAUAAGAUCUAAAGUCAAGUAUGGUAGCCAAUGAUGGGUAAGAUAUGGUUGAAUUGUAAAUACCAACCUAAGACCGGGAAUGGUCGACAGAGGACUAUAGCCCCAUGACGGGUAAGGAUUUAACUUCAACCAUACAACCUAAGACAGGCACCUACCUUGACCCAGUCUGAGUUAGACUGGUUGUUUUAUUAAAGAGAAAAAAGAGACGAGAUAGUCAAAGACGGGUAAGCACCCUAGAGCCUCUGGCAACCUAAGACAGGGCUUCCACAUUGGAGUGGGAGUACCAAUGACGGGUAAGAUCAGAGUUGCUGCCUUGGGGCACCUAAGACAGGCACUGUCUUCUUAUUAUAAAAUAAAGGGGGAGAUGUUGGGAGCAAACCUGUGGGCCUUUAGGCAGGCUUGGUUACGAAAGCCCCACCCUUAAAACCUCCCUCCCAAGGGCCCCCACCCACAAGAUGGCGAACUCCCUGCUUCUCUUCUGGGUCCUCCGCUCCCGCCGGUGCCACCUAAGGCCCAAUCACCUUCUGACCCACCCCUUCCUCGCUACCUGUAUAAAUUGAGCCUGCAAACAAUAAACUGUGUCAGCUUUAUCAGA
Manis pentadactyla (Chinese pangolin) is the source of this 1926-nucleotide long non-coding RNA. RefSeq lists it as uncharacterized. The transcript is spliced from 4 exons. The record is from RefSeq and is a predicted model, not a curated record. NCBI's taxonomy places the organism in Eukaryota, Metazoa, Chordata, Mammalia, Pholidota, Manidae.